This is a long non-coding RNA of Homo sapiens (human), 742 nucleotides long. RefSeq lists it as uncharacterized. The record is from RefSeq and is a predicted model, not a curated record. The transcript has 5 exons. Lineage: Eukaryota; Metazoa; Chordata; Mammalia; Primates; Hominidae.
CUUUCUAAUAUACAAUAAACAUGCCAUUUCUAGUAUACAAUAAUUUAUACAGAAAUUUUUAGAAAAUCAUUACUUUAACCAACUUCAAUCUCUACCACUGCAUUUGGAACAAAUAAUAUUUAGUCAGAUGGAAUGCCUCUCAAAUAUUUAAAAGAACGGAGUCUCGCUCUGUCACCCAGGCUGGAAUACAGUGACGCGAUCUCUGCCCACUGCAAGCUCUGCCUAAGAAGGUUAAGUAAAGAGAAUAUCUGGCCACUUUCCUCAGUGUAUCUCAGUAAAUACUAUGUUAUUUAGCUCUUCUAUCAGCAGAUAUGUAAGCUGUUUAUUGCAUCAGUAAUUUUCAAAGAAAAUGAAUGUAAAGUAAACAGAGCAACAGAGGCCUGUGAAAAAACUAGAAAGAAAACAGCCACAUGGCAAGAGAAGAAGGAAUGGAAGAAGGCUCUGGGAGGUGUUGAAUUUGUUUGAGUUCUUUCUCCUAGAAGACAGAAGCAGGUGCAAUAGAACACAAAUAUAAAAAGGGAAGCCAAGGUUCCUGCCUGGGUCAUAAAAAAUACUGGAUACAAAAGAUUUUAGAAGAAGAAGGAGAAAACAAAUUCAGGGGCAAGACACCAGAACCAUUGGAAAGACCGAUGGAGAGUUACGUGAAGAGCUUCCAGAAAAUAAGGCAUAUACAAGUGCUAGUAUUCCAGUCUUACACACAGAUGCAUAGAUAAAUAAAUAACAUCACACAUUUGCUAAUAAA